RNAcentral lists this ribosomal RNA (250 nucleotides) under uncultured bacterium. RNAcentral describes it as "partial 16S ribosomal RNA". It matches the Rfam family "Bacterial small subunit ribosomal RNA", at positions 15 to 263 of the family's 1533-position model. The record is from RNAcentral.
GAUCAUGGCUCAGGAUGAACGCUAGCGGCAGGCUUAACACAUGCAAGUCGAGGGGCAGCACGAGGUAGCAAUACUUUGGUGGCGACCGGCGCACGGGUGCGUAACGCGUAUGCAACCUACCUUUAACAGGGGCAUAACACUGAGAAAUUGGUACUAAUUCCCCAUAACAUUCGAGAAGGCAUCUUCUUGGUUAAAACUCGGUGGUUAAAGAUGGGCAUGCGUUGUAUUAGCGUGGUUGGUGAGGUAACCG